RNAcentral lists this non-coding RNA (21 nucleotides) under Caenorhabditis elegans. Lineage: Eukaryota; Metazoa; Nematoda; Chromadorea; Rhabditida; Rhabditidae. The record is from RNAcentral.
UCCCGUUGACUUUCAGAAUUG